Salvelinus fontinalis (brook trout) is the source of this 2371-nucleotide long non-coding RNA. RefSeq lists it as uncharacterized. NCBI's taxonomy places the organism in Eukaryota, Metazoa, Chordata, Actinopteri, Salmoniformes, Salmonidae. The transcript is spliced from 2 exons. The record is from RefSeq and is a predicted model, not a curated record.
UUUACUUUUGGUGUCUAUUUUUAAUUGUUGCGCUACUGGUGCUGCCUGUUGAUGUUAGGUAGGCAGCUACAGUAGCUGAAUGAUGUUAACAUCUUCGGGUUUUGUUUCAUUAAAUGUAUUUUAUUUCAUCCGGGUGCUACUAACACCCUGGUACUACCCGUAGCUCCCGCUCUUCUCAGUCAGAGAAAACUCUUGAGAGAGGAAGGUAUGUGUUGUAGAAUACUCCUUUGUAGAAGUCCAUAACGUGAAAUAAAUAAAGCAUCCCAAGGUUAAUGCUGUAGAUAUUGUUCUAAGGGAAUGUGAGACUAUUGAAACAUGUAACUUUCAGAGUUUAAUUGUUGUUAUUAAUAUAGUUUACAGAGUGCUAAAAGUGUUGCUAGCUAGCAUGCCUUUCUGUGAUGCAGACGGUUAGCUAAGCUGCCGACUGGUGCUGGCGUUGCAUUAUGGGAGAUGUAGUUUGGUCCUCUACGGUCAGAAUGGAAUAUAGGCGAUGUCACGUUAUAACUUGUUUAUGUUGCAUUGUUUUUGUACAUGAGUUGUUGUAUUUUGGUACUGUCAACACUGAAAGCACCUAGCAAUGUAUUGGGGAUGUGAGACAGGAUAUGUGUUUUGCCUUUCUUCAUGCUCCUGUGUAGAACAACUUGUCAGAUGGUGCAUUGGAGACUGAUGUGUUCCUGUCCUGUCUUUUCACAAUACUAUUGCAGAUAUGGUUCUAUUGUCUAAGAAUUAAGAUUAUACAUUCUUUGUAUUAAGGACUGGUUAUUAUUUUAUAGUAUACAUAAGGCUUUUCAUCUUUGAGUCGGAUACGGUGGAUGACUCAAGUCGGUCCCUGGAGAAGAUGCCUUCAUACUGAGCAAUAAGCUUGGGUGACAUUCUGAAGAGCAGACUGGACCUUACUGGGGUUCUCAGCAUGGCUGGAAUAGAGCUCUAGGUCUUCUAGGGCUAGGCAUGGGUGAACAUCAGCCAACUUGGUGUUACGCCGGAGAACAAUAGGGUGGUGACUUUAACCAUAUCUACAUGUACAUACUACCUCAUUCAGCCAACUAACUAACCAGUGUCUGUAUGUAGCCUCACUACUGUUAUUUUUUACUGUUGUUUUUAUUUCUUUACUUACCUAUUGUUCACCUAAUACCUUUUUUGCACUAUUGGUUAGAGCCUGAUAGUAAGCAUUUCACUGUAAGGUGAAAUGGAAUACCUGUUGUAUUCGGCGCACGUGACAAAUAAACUUUGAUUUGAUUUAGUCUAAAGAAGGCCAGUUGUAUUGCUUCUUUAAUCAGGACAUCAGCUGUGCUAACAUAAUUGCAAAAGGGUUUUCUAAUGAUCAAUUUUAAAAUGAGAAACUUGGAUUAGCUAACACAACGUGCCACUGGAACACAGGAGUGAUGGUUGCUGAUAAUGGGCCUCUGUACGCCUAUGAAGAUAUUCCAUUAAAAAUCUGCUGUUUCCAACUACAAUUGUCAUUUACAACAUUAACAAUGUCUAGACUGUACUUCUGAUCAAUUUCAUGUUCUUUUAAGGGACCAAAAAUGAGCUUUUCUUUAAAAAACAAGGACAUUUCUAUGUGACCCCAAAUCUUUCAACAGUAGUGUAUGUGACCACACAUUUUCAGUGACAAAAUACAACAAGUCAAGGCACAGAUCAUCUCUUGCUGACUCUCACCUCUCAGCAAUCAGAAACUAUACCUGAUUUCGCUGCUCUAGUCAAUGCCCGUCAGAGACUUCACUCCUCACACUGAUUGAGUAGUUUAAAGGUAAUGUUGAGCUCUCUUUCCUGUGUUUUUUGUGCAUACCCUUUAAUAAGUAUAUUUUAGCUAUUAAAUUUACUUUUGAUGCUUAAGUAUAUUUAAAACAACAUACUUUGACUCAAUUAGGAUUUUACUGGGUGACUGUCACUUUUACUUGAGUAAUUUUCUAUCAAGGUAUCUUUACUUUUACUCAAGAAGAGAGUUCUGUCACUGAAUGCACAGUGUACUUUUUCCUUCCUGUAGUUCAUUGCAUGUUUAAUAAUGGAAAUACCUACCAAAAGGAGAACAUGGUUGUGGUUUAUUUCUGUGCAUGUUAAAAAAGUUAAAUAAGUAGCAUAUCUGGAUGUGAUUUACAGUAGAUAUAUCCGUCAACACAGUCAUACACAUGAUGUAUAAUCCUGUAAUAUGAUUCUGGCCCGCAAAGGCAAAUAUAUAUUCUAAUGUGGCCCUCCAUGGAAAAAAUUUGCCCAGACCUGGUUUAGCCGGAGGAGAGUUAUUUAUUAUUAGGAUCUGACUCCUGACCCACUUCCAUAGACCUACAUGGUAGUUAUGACAGAGACAACCCAGAAUGUCAAGUAAUAAUUUGUCAAGAAAACCAUCAAUAAAGAUUAUGUGGUUGAAUGAGAA